Molecule: ribosomal RNA, 497 nt
Filed under: uncultured bacterium
Lineage: Bacteria
Description: partial 16S ribosomal RNA
Rfam family: Bacterial small subunit ribosomal RNA
Source: RNAcentral
GAUGAACGCUGGCGGCGUGCCUAAUACAUGCAAGUCGAGCGAACGGACGAGAAGCUUGCUUCUCUGAUGUUAGCGGCGGACGGGUGAGUAACACGUGGAUAACCUACCUAUAAGACUGGGAUAACUUCGGGAAACCGUAGCUAAUACCGGAUAAUAUUUUGAACCGCAUGGUUCAAAAGUGAAAGACGGUCUUGCUGUCACUUAUAGAUGGAUCCGCGCUGCAUUAGCUAGUUGGUAAGGUAACGGCUUACCAAGGCAACGAUGCAUAGCCGACCUGAGAGGGUGAUCGGCCACACUGGAACUGAGACACGGUCCAGACUCCUACGGGAGGCAGCAGUAGGGAAUCUUCCGCAAUGGGCGAAAGCCUGACGGAGCAACGCCGCGUGAGUGAUGAAGGUCUUCGGAUCGUAAAACUCUGUUAUUAGGGAAGAACAUAUGUGUAAGUAACUGUGCACAUCUUGACGAUACCUAAUCAGAAAGCCACGGCUAACUACGUG